GGGAUACCCGCUGAACUUAAGCAUAUCAA
Molecule: ribosomal RNA, 29 nt
Filed under: Cladosporium sp. AP5s2-J2a
Lineage: Eukaryota; Fungi; Ascomycota; Dothideomycetes; Cladosporiales; Cladosporiaceae
Description: partial 28S ribosomal RNA
Source: RNAcentral